RNAcentral lists this long non-coding RNA (1546 nucleotides) under Nicotiana tabacum (common tobacco). RNAcentral's name for it is "long non-coding RNA (NTAB_LNC019436)". Lineage: Eukaryota; Viridiplantae; Streptophyta; Magnoliopsida; Solanales; Solanaceae. The record is from RNAcentral.
AUCUUCAAACCAAAUUUCACCCAAAUUAGAUUUUUCAGAAUAAAUUUGGAAAUCUAUGCCCAAACGCUAGCUUAUCUAAAUGAAAUAACCCUGGCAAACUUGAAAGAGUAAAUAAUUUUACUAACAGUCGUGAGUAGUUGCUAUAAAUCCUAUAUAUUAUUUUUCCACCACAGUUAAUUUUAAACCACAACAAUUCGUAAGAUCAUUUUCCUUAUAAAUCAUUUUGCCCGAAAAAAUGUUGUCUUCUAAUUUUCCUUCUAUUGAUGAAUAUACUUCCUUAGUGCUGGCUUGGGUGAAAGUUUCAGAGUCAACCUUGAGGAUACCGAAGAAUGAGGAGCCAAUGGCGACUUAGUGCCAAUCUUUUCUUUCAAAUGUCGUGCUAAUUUAAAAUUAUGGUUUAGUUUGGUUGAGAUUUCUGGAGCAUGGUGUUUCUUUGGUGUAGAGUUAGGAGCAAGGUUGGAUUUAGAAUGAAGUUAUUACCUUAGGCAUAGGAGUUGUGAAUGAAAUUGAAGGAAAUUUACUUAGGAUUCUAGGAGCUAAAUGUGAAGAAAAAUGUCUAAUUGCUGCAGGCUGAGGUGCAAAUUUUGUUGUUACCUUUGGAGUUGAGAGUGGGUUAGGUUUGAUUAAUGAAGUUUUGAAAAUUUAUCUUUGUUAUGGAGUUGUGUAGUUUUGUAAUAUAGCUUAUUAUGUUGCUCUUAAAUUCUAGUGAGGAACAUCUUCAAUUGAGUAUAAGAUAAAUUUUAAUGAUGUAUUUUGUUGCUUGCUACAGGAAAACUGAUCAAACAAUGGAUUGGCGCAAUCAUGUCUCUUUCUGUGCCCACAGGUUGUUUAUUAGCUUCCAGUUUAUACUUUUGUUUUCUGAUGAUGCUUAUUAGUUCAAGUACCAUGUUCCUACUUAAAGAAAAGAUGGUCUGCUAUAUCGCUAUCAAAAGAGAAAAAACUAUGAAACUCUUUUGGUGUUACGGAUAAUCAAAGAAUAUGGAUUAUUGAAAUGGAAUUUCAAUUAUAAGGCCUGCUUUAGUUUUUGGUUCUCACGAGUAUAUUGAUUUUGUUAUUAAAUUACAAGAGCGUAAUCUGGCUCUAAUUAUUGUGUAGACUACUUUUAACACUGCACAUAUUCAGGUAAGAUAUAGAGGCGUGUAAACCUAUUAAUAAUUUCAAAUAUUUUUUGAUGUUAAUAUUUUGUCUUUGCUAUUGCUUUUAUUGUAGAUCAUCAUGGAUUUAGCUUGGUAUACUAUAUUCUAAUUCUAAUGCUUGCUUUUUCUUGUCUUUCAGUAAAUACCAAGAUGAAGCAUGUGUUGUUAGCUGCACCUCUUGAACUCCAGAUUUUAUCAAAUCUUUUGAUUGUUUUGGUCUUUCUAGCAAACUAAAGAAUGUACUUGUACAACUUUGUUCCGCAAUUACAUCUCUACAUGUGUGAUGUACUUUAUGUUAAUAUUAAGCACAUUAUGUUAAUAUUUAGCUUCGUGGUACUGUUUUUAUUUUUUUAUUUUUUUUAUAGUCUAACUAAACAAUAAUGUUAUCUUCUGCAUAUAUAACAAUUUCG